CGCACGUCAACAACAAAGCAACCCUGCAUCAAUCAGACAGUAGCAACUGUCACCGCAAUACACACGCAUACCACCCGUCGUCGAAGAAAAUCUCGUUUGACGUGAGGAAGUAGCAACGGUGUCAGUUAGAAAAAGCAGACCGCGGAAGAGGCACUUUUUCGCCAAGAGGUUAGUGCGGAAAGUUUAAACGGCCGGAAGACAACCCGGAGUGGUUCGCUGUCGUGUCCAGUGAAGGGGACAGAUCAGGCCAACAACGAACGAUUGCGCGCGACUCGGUAAGCGUUGGCGAAAUACUGGUGACGGGCCAUCGAAGUCAGAAAGCCGCUCGAACGGUACGACAUUGCCACGUGGGGGAGUUAACCUCAAAACGACGGUUCGCCGGCGACGCAACCGGUGGAGAUUGGCGAACAAGGACCGAUAAACUGAUAAGGACUGAGGAUUAGCGAUCAACUAUUUGCUCAAGCGGCAUAAAAACGAUUCACACAGAUCGUCGGCAACAAGUGCAAAAGGUUGCGCGAACGCACCGCACGGAAAAGGCCUUCCAAAGGAAGGCCUUUAUUUUCAGGUCUGAAUCAGAGCGUACGGACAGCAAGCGGGUUCGGUCAGCAAUCUACGAGGAAAGACGGCAGUACAGAACGAAUCGAUCGGCUCUGAGUCUUCGACGACGACUAUACGUCACACCAGCACGGAGGAUAAGUUAUCCACGGGAGCAUGACGGCACGGCCCAUUGGUGUGAACUGCAGUAGGCAUCUCCGGGAAAAAACGGCGUGGCGGACAUGGUAGGGGUGCACCCACAGCAAGCGUGAGUAAGAAGAAAAGAGAAUAGGUAGAAUAAGUAGAUAGAGGAGAAGAGAGAACAGAAGGAGUAAUGAGUAAAAUAAAAAGCAGAUAAAGCAGGGCAAUGGAAGGAGAAUAAAGUUUGUGUCGAUGAAAA
Long non-coding RNA from Topomyia yanbarensis, 934 nucleotides. RefSeq lists it as uncharacterized. Lineage: Eukaryota; Metazoa; Arthropoda; Insecta; Diptera; Culicidae. The transcript has 3 exons. The record is from RefSeq and is a predicted model, not a curated record.